Molecule: transfer RNA, 90 nt
Filed under: Streptomyces sp. ADI96-02
Lineage: Bacteria; Bacillati; Actinomycetota; Actinomycetes; Kitasatosporales; Streptomycetaceae
Description: tRNA-Pro
Source: RNAcentral
CGCCGCAGGGCGGCCGGGGCCAGUGCGGCGCUUCGGCCGCGCCCGGUGCGUCGGCGCCGUCCGGCCCGGGGUCAUCCCUCGGCUCGGUGC